Molecule: long non-coding RNA, 3486 nt
Organism: Eriocheir sinensis (Chinese mitten crab)
Lineage: Eukaryota; Metazoa; Arthropoda; Malacostraca; Decapoda; Varunidae
Exons: 2
Source: RefSeq, a predicted model, not a curated record
GAAAAGGAGAGGGAAGGGAAGCGAAGGGGAGGGAAGGGAAGGGAAGGGAAGGGAAGGGAAGGGAAGGAGAGGGAACAAAAGGGAAGGGAAGGAAAUGUACAGGAUGAAGAGGGAAGGGAAGGGAAGGAGAGGAAACAGAAGGGAAGGAGGUGUGAAUGAAAGGAGAGGGAAGGGAAGGGAAGCGAAGGGAAGGGAAGCAAAGGGAAGGGAAGGAGAGGGAACAAAAGGGAAGGGAAGGAAAUGUACAGGAUGAAGAGGGAAGGGAAGGGAAGGGAAGGAGAGGGAACAAAAGGGAAGGGAAGGAAAAGUACAGGAUGAAGAGGGAAUGGAAUGGAAGGGAAUGGAAGGGAAGGGAAUGGAAGGGAAGGGAAGGGACUGAACACACACCAAGCACCUCAAGACACAGCUAGCGGGACGACCGGGUGACCAAGACCAAGAAAUACUCGCAUGUUUGGGUUGGCUAUCACAGACGACGACGGAACGAGAAAAAAAAAUAAUAAUAAAAAAAAAAAAAAAAAAAAAAAAAAACUAUGAGUACACGAACGUUAACCUAAAAAUACCUUGGCGUCUUGUUUUCCUUCUUUUUUUUUCCUAGAUAUUUUCCUUUUUUUUCCGUUCUUAAAGUCGGAUGUAUAAAAAAUUAGUCUUCGGUAUUAAACUUUUUUUGCUCCUUUAUUUUCCUAGAUAUUUUCCUCUUUUUUUCCUUUAAGUUGAUAUAAAAAAUUAGUCUUUGGAAUUAUAGUUUUUUCUCCUUUAUUUUCCUAGAUAUUUUCCUCUUUUUUUCCCUUCAAGUCGAUAUAAAAAAUUUGUCUUCAGAAUAAUACCUUUUUUUCCUAGAUAUUUUCCUCAUUUUUUCCUUCAAGUCGAUAUAUUUUGGGAUAAUAGUUUUUUCCUUUAUUUUCCAAGUUUUUUCCUCAAUUUUCUUCGUCGGAAAUUCGCAUAGACCUUUCUUCCUUGUUCUCUAAUUUUUUCCUCACUUUUUUCAAUGACUCAAAAACGUGAAAAAUACAACAUUAUGUAAAUUCCUAGGCCCCAAACUACCUUUCCAUAAUUUUUCCUCGACUUGGAAAUUAGAAAACGUACAUUAUGUGAAUUCUUACAGGCCCUAAAAUACCCUUCCCUCAUCUCUCUUUCUUCCCUUUUUCUAGAUUCUUCCUCGCUUUUUUCUACGACUCGAAAACGUAAACAAUACAACAUUACGUGAACUCGUAUUGGCCACAAACUACCCUUCCUUUAUAUCUCUUUCUUCCUGUUUCCCUAAUUUCUUCCUCACUUUUUUUCUACGACUCAAAAAUGCGAAAAGUACAACGUUACAUAAAUUCCAACACCACAAACUACCUUCCGAUAAUUUUUCCUCGACUUGGGAAUUAGAAAAGUACAUUAUGUGAAUUUUUACAGGGCCCUAAAAUACCCUUCUGUUACCUCUCUUUCUUCCUUUUUCUCUAAUUUCUUCCUCACUUUUUUUCUACGCCUCAAAAACGCGAAAAGUACAACAUUACAUAAAUUCUUAGACCACAAACUACCUUCCGAUAAUUUUUCCACAGCUUGGGAAUUAGAAAAGUACAUUAUGUGAAUUUUUACAUGGCCCUAAAAUACCCUUCCUUCUUUCCUUACAGUAUUUUAACCUCUCUCUCUCUCGUAACAAAAUCUCUCCUUUUUUCACAGAUUCUUCCUCGCUUUUUUUCUACGCCUCAAGAACGCGAAAAAUACAGCAUUACAUGAAUUCCUAAACCCUAAACGACCUUCCAAUACUUUUUCUUUGACUUGGAAAUUAGAAACGUAUGUUAUGUGUCCUGAAGUACCCUCCCUUCUUUCCUUUCAAUACAUGUUUUAAUCUCUCUCUCGUAACAAAGUCUCUGGGUCUAUAUAACAACAGUGCUUAUGUACGUGAUGGAAUGCGAUGGUCAUGACAGGUAUAUAUAUUAAAAUCAGUGAAAUUAGAUGUAUUCGAUUGCGUGUUGCGAUGUAUAUAGCGACCCUGAGACACAGACUGAUUGAGAAACAUGUGAAAUAAUAAUAAUAAUAAUAAUAAUAAUAAUAAUGAGAAUUGUAAACACUUGGGCCCGAUUGAAAAGGACAGGGCAUUCAUUCAUCUGACAUAAAUAGCGAUGUCGGAUAAAUACUGAAUCCAUGUACCUUGAUAAUGAUAAUCUCAAACAUUUGGGGCCAAUUGAAAAGGACAGGGCAUUCAUUCAUCUUUCUAAUUACAGACAGAAAUAGCAAUCUGUCGGAUAAAUACUGAAUCCAUGUACCUUGAUAAUGAUAAGCGUAAACAUUUGGGGCCAAUUGAAAAGGACAGGGCAUUCAUUCAUCUUUCUAAUUAGAGACAGAAAUUGCAAUCUGUCGGCUAAAUACUGAAUCCAUGUACCUUGAGGAGAUGGUAGUUAAUUAUAAUAUGCUUAAGAUGUAUUUACCUCCUUGGAAAUGCUCUCUAUAAAUGCUCUUAAUGAUAUCUACAACCAAAGGUACAGAAAAAUGGUAUCUGAAUCCAUGUACCUUGAGAUAUAGUUAAUCCUAAUAUGCUUAAGAUGUAAUUACCUCCUUGGAAAUGGUUCUGUCUCAAUGCUCUUAGUGAUAUCGACAACCAAGGUUACAGAAAAAUGGUAUCUGAAUCCAUGUACCUUGAGAUAUAGUUAAUCCUAUAUGCUUAAGAUGUAAUUACCUCCUUGGAAAUGGUUCUGUCUCAAUGCUCUUAGUGAUAUCGACAACCAAGGUUAUGGAAAAAUGUUACCAGAAAAAAUUACAGCAUAUAAUAAUCGUAAUAAUAAUGGUAAUAGUAUUCAUAAGCUGUAAUCAUGGUGGACAUUUCCUGUAGCUUAUUUAUCUAGUAAUAACAACAAUCAAUGGUCUGAAAAUGUAUAAGAAAUAGAAGGAAAAUUACAAUAUAUAAUGAUAAUAAUAAUAAUGGGAAUAUUUUUAGUAACAAUGAUGAAAGCUCUCUCAAAGUUGAUGGUUGUUUUUCCUUAAGUUAUGAACAAGACAGCGACUGCAAUGAAGAAAAUAAAAAUAAACAUAAAGAAAAUAAAAAUGACACUAUAUAUAACCUCUCAUAAAAGAUACACUUGAAAAAAAAAAAGUUACCGAUCUCUCUAAGUUGAUGGUUGUUUUUCCUUAAGUUAUGAAUAAGACAGCGACUGCAAUGAAGAAGAAAAUAAACAUAAAGAAAAUAAAAAUGACACUAUAUAUAACCUCUCAUAAAAGACACACUCGAAAAAAAAAGAAGUUACCAAUCUCUCAAAGUUGAUGGUUGUUUUUCCUUAAGUUAUGAAUAAGAUAGCAACUGUAUUUAAGAAGAAAAUAAAAAUAAACAAAGAAAAUGAAAAUUACACUAUAUAUAACCUCUCAUAAAAGACACACUUGAAAAAAAAAAGUUACCGAUCUCUCUCAGUUGAUGGUUGUUUUUCCUUAAGUUAUGAAUAAGAUAGCGACUGCACUGAAGAAAAAAAUAAAGAUAAAGAAAAUAAAAAUGACAUCAUACAUAACCUC